Long non-coding RNA from Brienomyrus brachyistius, 365 nucleotides. RefSeq lists it as uncharacterized. The record is from RefSeq and is a predicted model, not a curated record. The transcript has 3 exons. NCBI's taxonomy places the organism in Eukaryota, Metazoa, Chordata, Actinopteri, Osteoglossiformes, Mormyridae.
UUGGCUUGGGGGCUCGGUGCUGAGGAGGAGGAGCGGGGAGAACUGGAGUAGGAUGGUAGGAACAUGCAGCCUCUUUGAUGGAGAUGGUAAACAGGAAGAAUCGCCCUGGCAGCUGGGCUCCCGGUUUAGACGUGUGACGAACGAGGCAGGUAUCAGCUUCUCGGGGAAGAGCCGAUGGCGACCGCACCUACCUGGAUCAGACCUACUUGGAUCAGGCCUCCUGGAUCAGGCCUCCUGUUCCAGUACUGCAGCUGGACUGUAUGGCUGUAUGAAGCACGGCCAUGGGCUGUUCCAGGCUCCUACUGGGCAGAACCAGGCCACAGGUUUGCACAGAGUGAAAGCUGGAGUUUGUGCAUCGGCUAGAG